CUUGAAGGAAAUUUUGUGAAAAACAUGUUCAUUUGAGCAACAUCUAUGGCAUGCAAUUAACAAUUAAAGGCGGAAUCAUGCUUGUAUGCACUCAAAAACAAAACAUUACCCAUGAAAUUCAAAGCCUGGUAGAAGGGUGAACCAAGACUCAACUCAAACAAAGUGAGUUGAGAAACUUUAUACCUUUGUUGAUUCCUCUUUUCAUAAGCAAAGGCUAAUCACCCAAGGAGAGGGCCUUCAUUCUUGCUUCUUAGCUCCAUGGAUUUCUUGGAUGAGGAUGAUUGAAAGGAUUCUCCAAGUUCCCAAAGUUGAGAACCUCUAAGUCUCCACACCAAGGUAUGACUUGAAGAAGAGAUGAGUGACCUAGAGGAAGUAAGAUUGCUAGCUAAAAUCCUCUAGGGUGGCCGGCCUCUUAGAGAGAAAAAUGGAGCUUGUGUUCUCAUCUUUUCUCUAAAAGAAACCCUAAGGAUGAAAUGGCUCUAAAGUUGCCUUUAUACCACCUCACAAUGGAGUGGCAAACUUGCAAUUAAGCCAAGUUCACUACCCCUCUCUAUAUGGCAGGUUUUCCCAAGCCUUUGGGCUGUUUUGGGCUUCUCAAAUUUUGUUUGUUAAGUUGUCAUACAACUUAAGCUAAUGGGCUUGACAAUUCGAAGCCCAAUUUGGGCUUUAAGGCCCAAAACUAACUCAAGGUUUAAAACGAACUUAUUCAUUUGAUUAAUUAACAUAUUAAUUAAUUCUUUCCAUAAACAAUUAAACCAUUUAAUUGUCCUUACUCAUCUCCAUUGUUUCUUCAAUCUCUACCUUACACGGUGUACGAUCCAUUAGGUUCCUUUUAGCGAGGUAGUGGGCGAUUAGAACUCUUUCAAAUUGAUUGUGAAUUGAAACUUACUUUCAAUUCUCCCUUUAGUGAUUAUACACAUUUAGGGCUCCACAAACCAUGAGUGACACCUAGCAGUAUGUCAUGGUUACCCAAGCUAAUCAGAAGAGGUGGAUAACCUAUUCAGUUUAGGAUUACAAUGCAAUACGGUCUUUCUCUAAUACAAUACUCUUGACCACAUUGUUUGGUUU
This 1068-nucleotide long non-coding RNA is filed under the name Malus domestica (apple). RNAcentral describes it as "long non-coding RNA (MDOM_LNC012807)". The record is from RNAcentral. Lineage: Eukaryota; Viridiplantae; Streptophyta; Magnoliopsida; Rosales; Rosaceae.